This 248-nucleotide non-coding RNA is filed under the name Pediococcus acidilactici. RNAcentral's name for it is "T-box sequence". It matches the Rfam family "T-box leader". From Rfam's summary of the family: Uncharged tRNA acts as the effector for transcription antitermination of genes in the T-box leader family. T-boxes are found upstream of many aminoacyl-tRNA synthetase genes and some amino acid biosynthetic genes usually in Gram-positive bacteria. The record is from RNAcentral. Lineage: Bacteria; Bacillati; Bacillota; Bacilli; Lactobacillales; Lactobacillaceae.
UCAAAAACCGUAAGAAGAACAAGUAUUUUAAGCCCGUAACUUAAAGCGAAUUGAGGAUGGUGGAAGCUCAAGAAGUUAUUCUUUUAAGAAAAACAUCUUCUUUGUUUCUAGGCUGAACGAUUAAGCGUCCAGUAAGUCUAGACGUGACCGAUACGUUAUCGUUUGGAGAGCAUAUUUUAGAUGUGCUUUUAGAGAUGUUUAUUUUUAAACGAAUUUUGGGUGGUACCGCGAAGUCUUUCGUCCCUGUU